This 522-nucleotide ribosomal RNA is filed under the name uncultured bacterium. RNAcentral describes it as "bacterial SSU rRNA". It matches the Rfam family "Archaeal small subunit ribosomal RNA", at positions 345 to 866 of the family's 1478-position model. The record is from RNAcentral.
AACCUCCGCAAUGUGAGAAAUCGCGACGGGGGGAUCCCAAGUGCCAUUCUUAACGGGAUGGCUUUUCAUUAGUGUAAAGAGCUUUUGGAAUAAGGGCUGGGCAAGACCGGUGCCAGCCGCCGCGGUAACACCGGCAGCUCUAGUGGUAGCAGUUUUUAUUGGGCCUAAAGCGUCCGUAGCCGGUUUAAUAAGUCUCUGGUGAAAUCCUGUAGCUUAACUGUGGGAAUUGCUGGUGAUACUGUUGAACUUGAGGUCGGGAGAGGUUAGCGGUACUCCCAGGGUAGAGGUGAAAUUCUGUAAUCCUGGGAGGACCGCCUGUUGCGAAGGCGUCUAACUGGAACGGUUCUGACGGUGAGGGACGAAAGUUAGGGGCGCGAAACCGGAUUAGAUACCCGGGUAGUCCUAACUGUAAACGAUGCGGACUUGGUGUUGGGGUGGCUUUGAGCUGCUCCAGUGCCGAAGGGAAGCUGUUAAGUCCGCCGCCUGGGAAGUACGGUCGCAAGACUGAAACUUAAAGGAAUU